RNAcentral lists this ribosomal RNA (490 nucleotides) under uncultured bacterium. RNAcentral's name for it is "partial 16S ribosomal RNA". It matches the Rfam family "Bacterial small subunit ribosomal RNA", at positions 30 to 507 of the family's 1533-position model. The record is from RNAcentral.
AUUGAACGCUGGCGGCAGGCCUAACACAUGCAAGUCGAACGGUAACAGGAAGCAGCUUGCUGCUUCGCUGACGAGUGGCGGACGGGUGAGUAAUGUCUGGGAAGCUGCCUGAUGGAGGGGGAUAACUACUGGAAACGGUAGCUAAUACCGCAUAAUGUCGCAAGACCAAAGAGGGGGACCUUCGGGCCUCUUGCCAUCGGAUGUGCCCAGAUGGGAUUAGCUUGUUGGUGGGGUAACGGCUCACCAAGGCGACGAUCCCUAGCUGGUCUGAGAGGAUGACCAGCCACACUGGAACUGAGACACGGUCCAGACUCCUACGGGAGGCAGCAGUGGGGAAUAUUGCACAAUGGGCGCAAGCCUGAUGCAGCCAUGCCGCGUGUAUGAAGAAGGCCUUCGGGUUGUAAAGUACUUUCAGCGGGGAGGAAGGGAGUAAAGUUAAUACCUUUGCUCACUGACGUUACCCGCAGAAGAAGCACCGGCUAACUCCGUG